This 72-nucleotide transfer RNA is filed under the name Camelus bactrianus (Bactrian camel). It matches the Rfam family "tRNA". From Rfam's summary of the family: Transfer RNA (tRNA) molecules are approximately 80 nucleotides in length. Their secondary structure includes four short double-helical elements and three loops (D, anti-codon, and T loops). Further hydrogen bonds mediate the characteristic L-shaped molecular structure. tRNAs have two regions of fundamental functional importance: the anti-codon, which is responsible for specific mRNA codon recognition, and the 3' end, to which the tRNAs corresponding amino acid is attached (by aminoacyl-tRNA synthetases). tRNAs cope with the degeneracy of the genetic code in two manners: having more than one tRNA (with a specific anti-codon) for a particular amino acid; and 'wobble' base-pairing, i.e. permitting non-standard base-pairing at the 3rd anti-codon position. Lineage: Eukaryota; Metazoa; Chordata; Mammalia; Artiodactyla; Camelidae. RNAcentral also lists the same sequence under 2 other names. The record is from Rfam by way of RNAcentral.
GAGGGUAUAGCUCAGUGGUAGAGUGCAUGCCUAGCAUGCACAAGGUCCUGGGCUCAAUCUCCAGUACCUCCA